UACGUAGGGGGCGAGCGUUGUCCGGAAUGACUGGGCGUAAAGCGUGCGUAGGUGUCCCGGCAAGCCUCGGUUUAAAUCCUUCUGCUCAACAGAAGACGAGGUCGGGGAACUGCCGGGAUUGAGAGCAGGAGAGGGCGAUGGAAUUCUCGGUGUAGCGGUGAAAUGCGUAGAUAUCGGGAGGAACACCAGUGGCGAAAGCGGUCGCCUGGCCUGUUUCUGACACUGAAGUGCGAAAGCUGGGGGAGCAAAC
Molecule: ribosomal RNA, 250 nt
Filed under: uncultured bacterium
Lineage: Bacteria
Description: partial 16S ribosomal RNA
Rfam family: Bacterial small subunit ribosomal RNA
Source: RNAcentral